Molecule: ribosomal RNA, 944 nt
Filed under: Vibrio fortis
Lineage: Bacteria; Pseudomonadati; Pseudomonadota; Gammaproteobacteria; Vibrionales; Vibrionaceae
Description: bacterial SSU rRNA
Rfam family: Bacterial small subunit ribosomal RNA
Source: RNAcentral
GCCUAACACAUGCAAGUCGAGCGGAAACGAGUUAUCUGAACCUUCGGGGAACGAUAACGGCGUCGAGCGGCGGACGGGUGAGUAAUGCCUAGGAAAUUGCCUUGAUGUGGGGGAUAACCAUUGGAAACGAUGGCUAAUACCGCAUAAUGCCUACGGGCCAAAGAGGGGGACCUUCGGGCCUCUCGCGUCAAGAUAUGCCUAGGUGGGAUUAGCUAGUUGGUGAGGUAAUGGCUCACCAAGGCGACGAUCCCUAGCUGGUCUGAGAGGAUGAUCAGCCACACUGGAACUGAGACACGGUCCAGACUCCUACGGGAGGCAGCAGUGGGGAAUAUUGCACAAUGGGCGCAAGCCUGAUGCAGCCAUGCCGCGUGUAUGAAGAAGGCCUUCGGGUUGUAAAGUACUUUCAGCAGUGAGGAAGGGGGUGUCGUUAAUAGCGGCAUUUCUUGACGUUAGCUGCAGAAGAAGCACCGGCUAACUCCGUGCCAGCAGCCGCGGUAAUACGGAGGGUGCGAGCGUUAAUCGGAAUUACUGGGCGUAAAGCGCAUGCAGGUGGUUUGUUAAGUCAGAUGUGAAAGCCCGGGGCUCAACCUCGGAACUGCAUUUGAAACUGGCAAACUAGAGUACUGUAGAGGGGGGUAGAAUUUCAGGUGUAGCGGUGAAAUGCGUAGAGAUCUGAAGGAAUACCAGUGGCGAAGGCGGCCCCCUGGACAGAUACUGACACUCAGAUGCGAAAGCGUGGGGAGCAAACAGGAUUAGAUACCCUGGUAGUCCACGCCGUAAACGAUGUCUACUUGGAGGUUGUGGCCUUGAGCCGUGGCUUUCGGAGCUAACGCGUUAAGUAGACCGCCUGGGGAGUACGGUCGCAAGAUUAAAACUCAAAUGAAUUGACGGGGGCCCGCACAAGCGGUGGAGCAUGUGGUUUAAUUCGAUGCAACGCGAAGAAC